RNAcentral lists this ribosomal RNA (415 nucleotides) under Oenococcus oeni. Its description in RNAcentral is "bacterial SSU rRNA". It matches the Rfam family "Bacterial small subunit ribosomal RNA", at positions 1125 to 1533 of the family's 1533-position model. The record is from RNAcentral. Lineage: Bacteria; Bacillati; Bacillota; Bacilli; Lactobacillales; Lactobacillaceae.
AUUUAGUUGGGCACUCUAAUGAGACUGCCGGUGAUAAACCGGAGGAAGGUGGGGACGACGUCAGAUCAUCAUGCCCCUUAUGACCUGGGCAACACACGUGCUACAAUGGGAAGUACAACGAGUCGCAAACCGGCGACGGUAAGCUAAUCUCUUAAAACUUCUCUCAGUUCGGACUGGAGUCUGCAACUCGACUCCACGAAGGCGGAAUCGCUAGUAAUCGCGAAUCAGCAUGUCGCGGUGAAUACGUUCCCGGGUCUUGUACACACCGCCCGUCAAAUCAUGGGAGUCGGAAGUACCCAAAGUCGCUUGGCUAACUUUUAGAGGCCGGUGCCUAAGGUAAAAUCGAUGACUGGGAUUAAGUCGUAACAAGGUAGCCGUAGGAGAACCUGCGGCUGGAUCACCUCCUUUCUAAGGA